Long non-coding RNA from Alosa sapidissima (American shad), 640 nucleotides. RefSeq lists it as uncharacterized. The record is from RefSeq and is a predicted model, not a curated record. Lineage: Eukaryota; Metazoa; Chordata; Actinopteri; Clupeiformes; Clupeidae. The transcript has 4 exons.
GAAGAAGAAAAGCACAACAAACCACACCGAUCCAUCGAACUACUGCGAAGAUAUAUUGUAGCCUAAGUUUUCACCUAUCCUACAGAAAAAAAAUCGAUUCUGCUGUUGGGAAGAUCACAAGGUUGUCCAUAACCGGAGGAGACUCUGUUAAAAAAACAGUGUUGUGGGUGUGCAGGAAGGUCAUCGGCGCUAAACUGGGCAUCCAGUUAAACUGGUGUGGGAGGGGCCAGAAGACGGGCAUCAAAUCACGGCCGAUUCAUGACAUUCUACUGAUGUCAGUGCUUAAAAACAAAACCCUAUCCAGCGCCACAAAAGCCGAGGUGGAGGCCGCCAUUCAGGCCUGGCUGCGGGUGAGCCUAGACAGGCUUGGAGGAGGGGGGAGAUGCAGACGAGCCCCACCAUAGCGCUCUAGAUUUGACUAGCGCUAACACAAGCAUAAAGGAGGAGACAGUCUGUCAGGAGGAGAAUCUCUGUUGUCUUGGCCUUCAGAUGUAGGCCUGUUGUUGAGAGAGAGAGAGAGAGUAAGUUUGUUUGUUCCUGUGUGUGUGUGUGUGUGUGUGUUUUUGCGUAUUUGCCUAUUGUUCUUCUCAUUUUGCAGAUACUGAGUCUGAGUUCUGACAUUAAAGUUUCUUCACUUGAA